CUAGUAUUCUGCAGUGGUUAGUUAAUUGUUUUCUAUUAAACAACUAUAUACUGAAUCCAUGAUAUUAUUCUGGAUGUUUUGGAGGAUACAAUGAUGUACAUGGCCACUGUGAUGAUAAGGGGGUCCAGUUUAGUUAAGAAGAGAAACCACAGGAGUUAUAACUUAAUGUAACAAGGAAAUACAGACACAUAUACAUAUAUUUAUAUGUAAAUUACUAUUUAUAUAGUAUACAAUGUCUUCUGAAGAAGAUAGAGUUGUUUGUAACUUGGGAUCUCACAGGAGGUUUCACAGAGAAGGUAGACCCUGAGCUGGGCAGAAUUUCAGUAAGUUAAUUUGGUUCUGACCGUACGAUAAAAUCAGGUAUUUGCACUGGUCAAUCUGACCUUGAUGGAACAGCAUUCCAUUUGCAGGGAAUGGUGUGAUCAAACAUGCAGUGGUGGAGAUGGCCAGAUUGUAAUAUUCCAGUACCUGGAAAGUGUUGGAACAUCUGCUUUCUCCACGGUCUAGAAAAGUGAAUCUCAAGUGAAAUGCACGUAUAAUGGAGGCCAGUGCUCUUUGCUUUGUGCACUGCUUUGAUUCUACAGCAUGCAACAAUGUAGUGAUCUGUUUCAGAUUGUCAUUAUUCGAGAGGGUUCUUAGUAACAGGAGUGGAAAAGGAAGACCUCUCUUCCUGUGUUUCUGCCCUAUGCUCUUAAGCCAGAAAAGGUACCAACAUCACUGACCUGACCUUGUCUCAGGUAUCUAUCAGGAUCUACUAGAAUCAUUCUAGUGAAAGGUAACUAGACGUCCAAAAGACUCAAAAGAUACACUAUAACCUUUGUAUACUUUACCUGGUGAAACAAAAAUGUCACCUGAGUGGUCCCCUUCCCUAGAAAUACCAGUAUGUUCUUCCAGUGCAUGGCAGAACUUUGCAGGUAAAACUGGGAUAAAGGUGAAGAACAGUCUUAAAAUUCUAGUCCUUGAACAGCACCUAACACACAACAGGUUUUCAAUAAUCUUAGCAACAGUAUUCACAAAUAAUGACCAUCAGCGUAACUGCUCUUUUGUGCCAAAAUACAUUACCAUAUUACUUUUUUUCCUUCAGCUUUACAACUUGGGUUCUAUUAUUGUUUCCAUUUUACAGAUUAGGAAAGUGAGGCUCAGAGAUGCUAAGUCACUUGGGCAAGGUCACAGAGCUUGUAGGAGAUAAACCUGCAGGCUUACUGUUGGAUCCUACAAACCAGACCAUAAUUUAAGUCCUUCAAAAUAUACCUCAGAACAUUUGAGUAAAUUAAUGAAUAAAUCCUCCUAGUCAGACUGACCAGAUCAUUAUAUUAGGUUCAGCUAUAAGUGGAGGAAAGUCAUAAUCAUAGUUGGACAGUUAAUACAGUAAUUUACUUGCUUUGAAUUUUCUAAAUGACAUUUAGCUGCUAAUUUCAUGAUGAUAACCAUCGAAUAAAAACAGGUAUAUUUUGAUGUUUGGAAUAAGAUCUGAUAUUGAGUAAAAUACAUAUUGAUUCCUAGACCUAUAUGAUGUGAGUAACAUGACAUUGAGAUGCCAUCUAGAAGUACUCCUGUGCAGUUCAUCAUGUCAACCCAGCUAAUAAUUUUAGAAUCUUCAGAGUGAAUAAUAUAUGCAGCCAUAAAGCAUAUUUCUAAUCAAUGCAAAUAAUAUUUUUCCUAUGCUAAACCCAGAGUGAAGUUAUAACACGCAUCAUAAGAUUAAUGGGCCAUGUUUUCUUCAUCACUUUGCUAAAUUACUUAGUCUGGAAACCAUUCAGAAGGUUGCGAAUUGGAGCUGAGCAGUAGUAGUGAGACUGUGCCUCUGAUGAAACUAUUUCCACCCUGACCCCUACUGCUCCCUUCUUGGGAAAGAAGGCAACAUUUCUCCUAGAAAAAGUCACAGGUUCAUAAGCUGGCUUGUAUAAUACGUUUGGAGGAAUAGUGUGUCUUUUAAGCAGAGCCUAUCUCGGCAUAUAAAAUAAUUUUUACCUACCAUUUAAUGAAAUUAACACUCACUUUGAGGCUAGGUCUUUUGCCAUUUGACUCCUGGAUCACGUCUAUGGAUAUAUUUUUUUCUUGAGACGAAGUGUGAACCCAAUAUAGUAUCCAUCAUUCAGUCUAUCUAGCUGAGGUACAUCAUCUGAAGCACAAGCUCCGUGAGGCCAGGCACUUUAUCUGCUCUAUCAGUGUAGCCCUGAUGCCUAGUGUCUAGCUUUUGGAGAUUCUUAAUAAACAUUUGUACUGAAUAAGGUAUGUAUAUGGUGAGCAAAAGUUGGCUUCCCAUUUUCCAGUCAAGGGUAUCCCACUCAUGUUCUGUGAACACUGGAUAGCAGAAUCUUACUAUGUUAUUUUUCUUUUCCCUUUGCAAGUUUCCUGAAAGGGCAUUCCUGUCCUUAGAAUGUCCAUCUCCUCCCAUCUUCCUGGAGAAUAACUCUUCUUUCUUAAAUACUUAGCCCCAUUAUUGACUCUUUAAGAUUGAAUGUAUUACCUCCUUACAAACAGGAAAAUGCAGUGCUUUUUUUUUUUUUUUUCGACAGUUUAUCACCAGAAAAUUAUUCUAACACCUGAAAUUCUGGACCUAAAAUGCCUGGACUAGUGGUUCUCAAAGUCUGGUACCCAGACCAGCACAUCAGCUGCACGUAGGAAUUUUUAGAAGUGAAAGUCUUGGGCCCUGCUCCAGACCUACAGACUCGGACACUCUGGGGGUGGGGCCCACUGCCUGUUUCAGCAAGCUCUCUUGGUGAUGCUGAUGCAUACUCAAGUUUGAGAGCCACUGCUUAGACCUAGAACUUAAGGUUUAGGCUUUGGACAGAUCUGAGUCCUAAACACUACUGAGACACUGGGGUGACCAUGAGCAAGUUACUUCUGGGAACCUCUUAGCAUCUGUAUGCCUUGCUUAGCUAAUAGUGAUUUUAAUUAAUUAGAAGAAUGCACACGGUGUACUCAAGAGAGUAACCAAAGCAUACUUUAUGUUCCAUAAAUUCUAGCUGUUUACCAUUAUCAUCAAUCAGAGCUUACUGACACAUCCUGAAGACAUUCUUCUAAUAAGUGUAAUAAUGUGGUUUGUAAAAUUAACAGCUUAGAAGAGCAUAUUACGAAGUUCAUCAGACAGGAUCUCAGCAGGAAAUCAGGGGUACAUCAAUAAGGAUAAAUUGAGCCCAAUGUAGAGAAUCAAGAGAUAGUGUAGUGCCCUGGGUUCAGUAGAAGUGUGGCUACCUUUAUAGAAGAUGAAAGAGAAAGGAAGCCUUGCUGGAGAGAGAGUCCUCCCCAAAGAUGCUGUGAUGCCCCACGGAGAAGCACUAUACGUUAGUUGGGGGAUGCAAUUUGGCAAGAAUUAAUACCCUAACUUCACUCCCCUCCUUCAUUCCCUACAGUCUUCUAUUGGUACUCUUCAUUGGUGAGCCAAACAGAAGCUAGAGCAAGGACACUUACUAAGAUAGGCCAUGCAAGCCAUCCAUAUAGAGUUGGGUGGAGAAAGGAUGUGGAAGGGCAAAGAGGACAUAUUUCCCGCAGGUGGUGAGCGAGCUGUAAAAUCACUCGCCCUUCUAACAUCAUUGCCAUUGCAGGAGCACGGAGGAGCAAGUGGUUACUUCUGACUUGGCAGAUCCAGGCGACUGCAGGACAGAACUGGUAUAUGAGUUGGGCUUUAAAGCAUGGACGACAUGGGAACAAAGAUGAUAUUUCAUCAGUCUUGUUUUUAUUUAAGUUGAAAGGUUAUAUAUUUCUACUAUCUACUGCAAUACUGCUAAAUAUUUUUAUAGUGCUUGUAAAUCUUAUGACAUUAUUUUUUUAGUUUGUAUUUAAGGCAUUUACUCAAAAGGGACCAUAUGCCUCAGUUCAUGUCACUCUAUCAUCAGUGUGUAUGGUCACUCUAUUUUCUAAUACUUUUAAGAUUGGUUUUGGCCCCGACGUUCCUCUGCCAGAUUUAUUUCCUUUAUUUUCCCCUAUAUAGCACCAUUUGGGCCAUUUAAUAUGUAAUUUCCCAACUCACCUUUCAUAGUUAUUUUAAACAUAUGUAUAUAUUUGAAAUACCGAAUUGUUUUGUAUUUUCUAAUUUUUGCAAAAGUAGUAUCGACUAAGAAUCACAUCCUAUUCUUUUAUUUUUUCUACACAAAAUUAUUGUUUUAAAAUUUGUCUGUGUUGCUCCAUAGAAAUUAUUGCUUCUGGCCACUGUCUAAUAUUCCACCAUAUGUUAAUCCCAUGUUUUGCUUAUCCAUUACCCUGGUGAUACAUACUUAGGCUCUUUUCAACACUUUAUGUCCACCAUAAAGCAUUAAUACACUCUUUCCACAUGUCCCCUUGAGUAACAGUGCAGAGUAACAGUGCAGCCGUGGAAUAGCUGAGGUAGAAGUCAUAUAUAUGCCUUAUUUCACAGAUUCCUCCCCAGAAUAGCUGUACCAUUUUCCCCUCACCAGCAAUACUUGGACUUUCUCUCUUGCCACAUCCUUUGUCACCACAUGCUGUUAAUCUGCAUUUUUAAAAAUUAAUUAAUUUAUUUAUUUUUGGCUGCAUUGGGUCUUCGUUGCUACACUCAGGCUCUCUCUAGUUGCAGCGAGUGGGGUCUACUCUUCGUUGCGGUGCGCAGGCUUCUCAUUGCAGUGGCUUCUCUUGUUGCGGCGCACAGGCUCUAGGCGCGCGGGCUCAGUAGUUGUGGCUCCCAGGCUCUAGAGCGCAGGCUCAGUAGUUGUGAUGCGCAGGCGGAGUUGCUCCACGGCAUAAUUUGCAUUUUAACUUCUGGACAUUUGGCAUGUGUGGAUUCAUAUGAAGUAAGGUGUUUUAAUUCUGCAUUGCUCUGAUUCUAGAAAAGUUAGGUCUUCAUAUACUUUCUUGCUAUUCAUGUUUUCCAUUCUAUGAAUUGCCUAUCAUGACCUUCGCUCAUUUUUCUAUUGAGUAUUCUGUGUCUUUAGAGAUGUAGAAGUUUUUGUAUUCAGAUGUUGAGUCCUUUAUUGGGUUUUAGAUAAUGUAUAUGUCUUCUACCCAUCAACUGUUUUUCAGUCUGACUUUGGUAUCCUUUAUUGUACAUAAAAUUCUAAUUUUUUAUUAAAGUAUAAUUGAUUUACAA
Molecule: long non-coding RNA, 5044 nt
Organism: Orcinus orca (killer whale)
Lineage: Eukaryota; Metazoa; Chordata; Mammalia; Artiodactyla; Delphinidae
Exons: 2
Source: RefSeq, a predicted model, not a curated record